UUAGUAACGGCGAGUGAAGCGGCAAAAGCUCAAAUUUGAAAUCUGGUACCUUCGGUGCCCGAGUUGUAAUUUGGAGAGGGCAACUUUGGGGCCGUUCCUUGUCUAUGUUCCUUGGAACAGGACGUCAUAGAGGGUGAGAAUCCCGUGUGGCGAGGAGUGCGGUUCUUUGUAAAGUGCCUUCGAAGAGUCGAGUUGUUUGGGAAUGCAGCUCUAAGUGGGUGGUAAAUUCCAUCUAAAGCUAAAUAUUGGCGAGAGACCGAUAGCGAACAAGUACAGUGAUGGAAAGAUGAAAAGAACUUUGAAAAGAGAGUGAAAAAGUACGUGAAAUUGUUGAAAGGGAAGGGCAUUUGAUCAGACAUGGUGUUUUGUGCCCUCUGCUCCUUGUGGGUAGGGGAAUCUCGCAUUUCACUGGGCCAGCAUCAGUUUUGGUGGCAGGAUAAAUCCAUAGGAAUGUAGCUUGCCUCGGUAAGUAUUAUAGCCUGUGGGAAUACUGCCAGCUGGGACUGAGGACUGCGACGUAAGUCAAGGAUGCUGGCAUAAUGGUUAUAUGCCGCC
This 555-nucleotide ribosomal RNA is filed under the name Saccharomyces cerevisiae (brewer's yeast). Its description in RNAcentral is "partial large subunit ribosomal RNA". It matches the Rfam family "Eukaryotic large subunit ribosomal RNA", at positions 80 to 649 of the family's 3401-position model. The record is from RNAcentral. Lineage: Eukaryota; Fungi; Ascomycota; Saccharomycetes; Saccharomycetales; Saccharomycetaceae.